RNAcentral lists this ribosomal RNA (1085 nucleotides) under Pediococcus pentosaceus. Its description in RNAcentral is "bacterial SSU rRNA". It matches the Rfam family "Bacterial small subunit ribosomal RNA", at positions 52 to 1097 of the family's 1533-position model. The record is from RNAcentral. Lineage: Bacteria; Bacillati; Bacillota; Bacilli; Lactobacillales; Lactobacillaceae.
UAUAAUGCAGUCGAACGAACUUCCGUUAAUUGAUUAUGACGUACUUGUACUGAUUGAGAUUUUAACACGAAGUGAGUGGCGAACGGGUGAGUAACACGUGGGUAACCUGCCCAGAAGUAGGGGAUAACACCUGGAAACAGAUGCUAAUACCGUAUAACAGAGAAAACCGCAUGGUUUUCUUUUAAAAGAUGGCUCUGCUAUCACUUCUGGAUGGACCCGCGGCGUAUUAGCUAGUUGGUGAGGUAAAGGCUCACCAAGGCAGUGAUACGUAGCCGACCUGAGAGGGUAAUCGGCCACAUUGGGACUGAGACACGGCCCAGACUCCUACGGGAGGCAGCAGUAGGGAAUCUUCCACAAUGGACGCAAGUCUGAUGGAGCAACGCCGCGUGAGUGAAGAAGGGUUUCGGCUCGUAAAGCUCUGUUGUUAAAGAAGAACGUGGGUAAGAGUAACUGUUUACCCAGUGACGGUAUUUAACCAGAAAGCCACGGCUAACUACGUGCCAGCAGCCGCGGUAAUACGUAGGUGGCAAGCGUUAUCCGGAUUUAUUGGGCGUAAAGCGAGCGCAGGCGGUCUUUUAAGUCUAAUGUGAAAGCCUUCGGCUCAACCGAAGAAGUGCAUUGGAAACUGGGAGACUUGAGUGCAGAAGAGGACAGUGGAACUCCAUGUGUAGCGGUGAAAUGCGUAGAUAUAUGGAAGAACACCAGUGGCGAAGGCGGCUGUCUGGUCUGCAACUGACGCUGAGGCUCGAAAGCAUGGGUAGCGAACAGGAUUAGAUACCCUGGUAGUCCAUGCCGUAAACGAUGAUUACUAAGUGUUGGAGGGUUUCCGCCCUUCAGUGCUGCAGCUAACGCAUUAAGUAAUCCGCCUGGGGAGUACGACCGCAAGGUUGAAACUCAAAAGAAUUGACGGGGGCCCGCACAAGCGGUGGAGCAUGUGGUUUAAUUCGAAGCUACGCGAAGAACCUUACCAGUCUUGACAUCUUCUGACAGUCUAAGAGAUUAGAGUUCCCUUCGGGGAAAGAAUGACAGGUGGUGCAUGGUGUCGUCAGCUCGUGUCUGAGAUGUUGGGUAAGUCCCGCACGAGC